CCUACGGGGGGCAGCAGUGAGGAAUAUUGGUCAAUGGACGAGAGUCUGAACCAGCCAUGUCGCGUGCAGGAUGACUGCCCUAUGGGUUGUAAACUUCUUUUAUACGGGAAUAAAAUGUUCUACGUGUGGGCUUUUGUAUGUACCGUAUGAAUAAGGAUCGGCUAACUCCGUGCCAGCAGCCGCGGUAAUACGGAGGAUCCGAGCGUUAUCCGGAUUUAUUGGGUUUAAAGGGUGCGUAGGUGGUUUGUUAAGUUAGUCGUGAAAGUAUGGGGGUCAACCUGUAAAUUGCGGUUGAAACUGGCAGUCGAGAGAGCAGUAGAGGUAGGCGGAAUGCGUGGUGUAGCGGUGAAAUGCAUAGAUAUCACACAGAACACCGAUUGCGAAGGCAGCUCACUGGGCUACAACUGACACUGAGGCACGAAAGCGUGGGGAUCAAACAGGAUUAGAUACCCUAGUAGUC
RNAcentral lists this ribosomal RNA (460 nucleotides) under uncultured bacterium. RNAcentral describes it as "partial 16S ribosomal RNA". It matches the Rfam family "Bacterial small subunit ribosomal RNA", at positions 338 to 795 of the family's 1533-position model. The record is from RNAcentral.